UUAGCUUCAAGUGCUGCCGGAAGAAGAAGAAAGAGCACAAGGAUUUGUGAGUUAGUUCUCAGGUGUUGGAUUUUGACUUCUUGAAAAAUAUUAUCGCAAGAGAGCGGGUACAUGUAUAUACCUUUUUUGGGGGUGAAUGAAAUACCGCAACUAGAAGAAGUAUGAGGAGUGUGGAGUGGCUUGUUCAAUAGUGGCAUGAAUAGUGAAACAAUUAUGCAGGGUAAAAUAUAUAGCAUACAUGAUUACUUCUUCCUGUUUUAGUGUUUUGUCAUUAGUGAUUUCGUCGGAUCUGAAUAAUUCUUCUGGACCAUCAACUUAGAAUUUGUCAAGCAAGGUUUAUGGACCCCUCUUUUCUCCAUGAUUUCUCAGGCCAGGUCACGUAAUGUCCUUGUGAUUUGUGGCUAAUUAGGUGGCAUAAUAUUGAAACAAACUGGGGACUGCACUCAAGUCCUUUCAACGAGUUUAUGUGACAGGUGAUGUGUGUUCUCUAAAGUUUUGACAACAGCUUUGAUGGCCUUGACCUUUCAAACAAACUAGAAUUACGAAAAAAAAAACUUUUGCAUUAUAAUUCCAGCGGAGCUGACAAUCAGUAAUAUUUCUGCGUAGAUAUCAGUACGCUAAGAGAUCAGUAUAUCUCUGGGCAAUUCUCACUUCUUAAUCAAUGAAAAUGGCAAGUCUUUUGCCUCGUUUCAAAAAAAAAGUAUAUCUCUGGGUAUUUUGGCCAAACCAAAAAGGGUUAAGCAGAUGCAUAAUUUGCCUGGAUUUUAAGUUUUAAUCAGGCAGAAGCACAUGACUGUGUCUUUGCAAUAGACGGACGGUCAGUACAAUCGUUUCAGCAGAGAGAGUACCGCUCCAUCAUGGGAUUUUGUGAUCCUUAUGGGAAUUUCUGAAAAUCACACUCCCUAUUUCUCAACAUAGCUAUAUGUAGACACAUAUGGGCCGGAUGGGCCAUAUUUAACUCACUCACACGCACACACAAAACAUUCAAUACUCCCACUCAAGAUGGUGGUAGAUAUUUAUCAACCUCAUCUUGUUACAUGCCGACUUGAACUUUUUUUAUGAAACAAAACCACUUUAUUAAUUCGAAAUAACAGUGACAUCGUCCAUUAGGAGAGAUACAAUUUCGCUCAUGGGCUCAUCAAACCAAUCAUUGGUUUACAAACUUAUAGCCAAUCUAGGAAGCUCAAGAACAACCUUAUUUACAAUGUUCAAAACUACUAAGAGCAAGACAAGUUGGCCUUCAUUGAGGAGCUUAGGACCCUCAAGACCGUGGCAAGAAGCGAGUGGCUCCUUUUGGGGGAUUUCAACCUCAUCACUAAAGCGGCGGAUAAGAGCAACACCAACAUCAAUCGCCGCCUGGUGGCCAAGUUCCGUGGGGCUCUUGAAUUCUUGCAACUAAAGGAGCUUCACCUGGGCGGGUGCCGUUUCACCUGGUCCAAUGCGCAGGCCAACCCGGUCCUUACCAAGAUUGACCACGUGUUCCACUUCGACGAUUGGGACAUGCUCUUUCCCAAUGCACACCUUCAGGCUAUCACUACAGUUUGCUUGGAUCAUGCUCCGUUAUACCUUCAGGGGUGCGUCGACAACUCGAGAAAGCCUUCCUUUAAAUUCGAGGAAUUCUGGCUUCGUCUCCCGGGCUUCAAGGACACCGUUGCCUUGGCAUGGAACAAACCUGUCCAGGCCCGUGAUGCCAUCCGCAAGAUUCAUAUCAAGCUCUGUCGGACCACGAAGGCCUUGCCAAGUGGCAAAAGGAAAAAGUCGGGAUGCUUGGCUCCCAGAUCGCAGUUGCCAAGGAGAUCAUCUGGCGCCUGGAUGUUGCUGAGGAUGGAAGACCGCUCUCGGACUCUGAGAGGGAUUUGCGUAAACAACUGAAGGUCUCGUACCUUGGGCUUCUCGCCAUUCAGAAAAUCAAGCUGAGACAGCAUUCUCGGCUCAACUGGAUCCGCCUGGGGGACGCCACCACAAAGCUCUUCCAUGCUCGUGCGAACAGACGAAGGCGUAAGAACUUCAUUCAGACGAUCACUACCACCUCGGGGCUGGCAAUUACCAGACAUGACAAGGAGCGGGCCCUUCUGAACCACUUCCAGGCUAACAUCGGCACGCCUGCCCUGCGCACCAAGUCCAUUGUCUGGGAGAACAUCGGGAUGCAACGCCACGACCUAUCGGCUCUGGACGAUCCAUUCGACGAGGCGGAGAUUAAGGAGACGGUAUUCUCCUUACCUUCGGUCAAGGCCCCGGGUCCCGAUGGUUUCAUUGACGCCUUCUUCAAAUCAUGCCGGGAGAUCAUCAAAGCGGAUGUCAUGGCUGUGGUGAUGCAGCUCGCGAACCUGAGAGGCGACUGCGCGGGCCUGAUCAAUUCAGCCAAUAUUAUUCUGCUCCCAAAAAAGCCGGUGCAUCCUCGAUUGCUCGAUUGGAGACUACUGCCCAACCAGUUUUAUGCACAUCAUCUCCAAGAUCUUCUCCAAGCUGUUGGCUAACCGGCUAGCCCCUCUGCUUCCGUCGCUGGUUUCCAAGUGCCAGAGUGCCUUUGUGAAAAUGGUGCAUCCACGAUAAUUUCCUACACGUGCAAAACUUGAUCAAAGAAUUGAACCGCUCUUCAACGCCAGGCCUUUUCCUCAAGCUCGACAUCUCCAAGGCUUUUGACUCUGUGGGUUGGGCUUACCUCCUGGAGGUGUUACAGUAGUUGGGAUUUGGACAGCGCUGGCGGGACUGGAUCUGCAUGACCCUCGCUUCAUCUUCCUCCAGGGUGCUGUUAAAUGGGGAGCCGGGAAACCCAUUCGCGCAUGGAAAAGGCCUUCGCCAGGGUGACCCGUUGUCGCCUAUGCUCUUCAUUCUGGCCAUCGAUCCUCUGCAACUUAUGCUCCGGGCGGCUUCCCAGGCCGGGAUCCUCAAGCCCAUCAUGGCACGACCGGCCUCCUGCAGGGUUUCCCUCUAUGCGGACGAUGCUGGCAUCUUUGCUAACCCGGUCAAACAAGAGAUCGACGCCAUCGCUUGGAUCCUUGCCUGUUUUGGGGAUGCAUCGGGACCAUCACAAAUGUCAGCAAGACCGAGGUGUCUCCCAUUCGCUGCCAAGACAUUGAUCUCCCAGCCGUCCUCUCGGCCUUCCCGGUCAAGCUGGCCAUGUUCCCCGGCCGAUACCCGGGUCUCCCACUACAUACCAGGCGGCUCAGAAGGGUUGACCUCCAACCUCUUCUGGACAAGGCAAUGGGCAAGUUGUCGGGCUGGAAGGGGAAGAACCUGGUGCGAAGGGUCUCCCUUGCAAAGUCCGUGUUGUGCGCCAUUGCAAAUCAUCACCUCACUGCGCUCUCGCUUCCCACUUCGCACUUGGGCAAUCCAGAAGCUUAGUAAUAUCACUCGUAACUUCAUCUGGUGUGGGGAAGACUUAGAAAACGCGUCUGGCGGACACUCUCUGGUCAAAUGGAAGACUGUCUGCCGGCCUAAGCCCAUGGGGGGCCUGGGAAUCACAGACCUCGAGAGAUUUGGUCAGGCGCUCCAUCUUCGCUGGCCUUGGCUUAUGUGGACUGCGAUGAGACGGAUAUGGCGCUCUUCAGGGCUUCUACCACCAUCUCCUUGGGCAAUGGGAGAAAAUCCUUAUUCCGGCACGACAACUGGACAGGAUGGGGUCCUCUAUCCCGGGCCUUCCCGGAGCUAUACAAAAUUGCCACCAGGAAGCGGAGAACUGUGAUGAAGGAGCUCCAGGAGGAGAACUGGAUCAGAUCGGUGGCCUGUCUUUCAUCGCCUACCCACCUACAGGAGUUCAUUGCCCUCGCAUCAGCUAUCGCUCAGGUUGCGUUGAACCCGGACCAGGAGGACUCCAUCACUUGGCGGUGGACUCCCAAUGGCAUAUACUCUGCUGCUUCGGCCUACGCGGCCCAGUUCUCUGGAUCCUAUCCCAGGUUCUCCCCAGCCAAGAUUUGGGAGGCACACGCUGAGCCAAAAUGCAAGUUCUUGGCCUGGCUUGUACUCCACGGGAAAAUCCUCACGACCGACAUGCUAGCCGUUCGUGGCUGGCUGCACGACCCUCGAUGUCCCCUUUGCCUUGGGGCACCGGAUACGGCCACUCAUCUAUGCAAGGAUUGCCCGUUUGCCGCCGCAGUUUGAUCUCACGUCCAGGUGUGGACGGGAGAGGACUCUGGGGCCAUGCCCACGUUGCCCCCUUCGAUGGGGAUUUUGGACUCGUGGGAUUCCUUUACACCAUCUGGAACAUCUGGAAGUAGUGAAACCAAACACAUCUUCAAUGAAACUCGCCUCACGCACCUAGAGGUAGCAUCUAUUGCCUUCGACGACAUCAAGCAAAGGACUUUGGCCUUUGGCCGGGCACAAGUGGCAGCCGGUAUUGGUGGAUUAGUGCUAUCGUGUGGGCUUUUCUAGGGGUUUUUGUCCGGUUUCUCUCCAAAAAACCGGAACAGUCUUGUACAUAAACCUUAUUCUCCUUUUAUAUGAAAAGACAGUGUUCCUUCCUGUUCCUCAAAAAAAAAAGCAAGCACAAGCACAAAGUAAAGAAACAAGGAACGGAUUAACCACGAGUUGGAAACAAGCAUGUGUCCCGCACUUCCAUAUGCACACCAGUUUUUAAACUAAAUGGACCAGAUGAACCCUCCUCCCGUCCCUCCCCCGUGCGGCAGCGCCGCCCCGCACCGGGGAGCCCUCGUCCUCCUCCUACAGCCUCGCCCCUCCUCCGCUCCCCUUCGCCGCCGUCGCCCGGGGCGUCAAAUGGCAAAGCCCUUGUGGCGUGGCGGCGGCGUCGGUUUCUCCUUGGAUCUCGAUCUGGUUGGGAGGCGGCGCUCCUCUCCGGCCAGAUCGGCGGCGCUCCUCUCCGGCCAGAUCGGCGGCGGUGGCGCAGAUCGGCGACGACAUGGAAGUGGUGCGGCGGCGGCGGGGGAGGACGGCACCAGCAACGGCGGAUCUGGCCUUGACUCAUGUCGGGCUAAUUCGUUGUGCUACCGAUCUCAAUCGCCGUCGGCGGGGCACUGCUCCUGGGCUUGAUCUGCAACACGAGGAUGUCUGGGGCGCCGGCCCUAGGCUUGGUGGUGGUGGCCUUCUUCGUCAGAGUUGGUCGGCCGGCUGGCUGUGCUCGCAUGGUCAUGCAGUGACCGGCGGCUUGGCCAGUCGGCGGCAGCAGAACUUGGCCGGUGGCAGCGGCAAAGUUCUGUCUGGAUCCCGAGGCGGUGGCCCUAGAGGGUGGAGGCCGGUGAAGCUCGGGCUUCCCGCAGCGGCAUGGCGUGGUGCAGUCCCUGUUCAAGGCGGAUCUGUGACGGCGAUCUGCUAUGGAUUGAUUCGGAUCAGAGACAGCAACGAGCGCGCGGGAUCCUUCUCGGCGGCUCUCGCAGCUUGGCGAGGCGGGGUGGGAGCCCUCCUCCUAGGCUCCAGUGGUGGCACACUCAGGCAGUGGCCGGUGUGCCAGGGGUCCCACAGUGGCAUUGUUGCUGCGGUUGGUCGCCGGAUCUAGGCGGCUAGAUCUGGGGCUUUGAAGGCGGUCGAGACGGUGCACAGUUUGUUGGGUGGAUUUCUUGGGACGGAUCCGGGUGAAAACCUGAUCUUCGGUCGAUGGCCGGAGACGGUGAUGACGAUGCCCUUAUCAUCGUUUCCUUCAUGAAGGCAUCGAGGUGAAGCUCCCAACUCCACUCAAUACCUCCGGGGGAAACCCUAGAUCAGCUGAUCGGAUGUUGGCGGCAAUCAUGUGUCGUAACCCCCUUGGGGACGGCAUUCUUGGAGGUGCACUCGGCUUUGCGGGACCAGCGGAUGGCUUCUUUGGUGGAGCGGUGCUUCAUUCAUGCAUUGAUGGCGACGGAUCUGGACGGUGUGGCGCAGUGUAGAUUCGAAGUUCGAUGUGGGAGGAUGGACUCGCGCAGGAGGACGACGCUGUCUGGCGUCGUGGUGGCGUCGAUGGCUGAGAGACCUGGCACGGUAGAUGCAACAGUACAACUCUGAAGAUGGACUCGUGGCAGGUGGCUGCGGCCAGGGGCGGAGUCAGGAUUUAGGUAUAGGGGGGGCCAAGGUAACUUACAAAAUAAAACUGUGUGGUGCAAAAAAAAUAGUACCGAGUACAAUACUAAAUAAUGUGGGACGUCAAGAAAAUUAAAACAUAGCUGCAUUUAGUUUUAAAAUUUCCCCUAAAAGUGCCAGUAAGAUGAUUUUAUUUAAUAAUUUCAUGAGAAGAUAACCUAGUUGCUAAGUUUCAGUAUCAAUGUAGGUUAUCAUAUAAUUUCCAAGCAAGUCAUCUUCCAUCGGAUUGGGGACUGGUAAUUUGCACGUUUGCCUCUCAAUAUGUCCAGAAUUCGAAACAACAUACUCUAAAAAAGGAACUUGAAACAACAUGCUUAAAAAUUGAAUUAAUCUUUAUGGUGUUUGGCGACGAUUUUCCCUUCUCACACGCGUCAUAAAUCGAACAGUUGAAAGAAAUUACAAAUAAAUUAGCAUCGUAGAGACGUAGACCACUCAAUUUUAACUAAGAGUACAAGUAGAAUUAACCCUAGAUCGGCUGUACAAUUCGACACAUAUAAGAUGAGAGCUGAGAGGGAUUAACUGGGAGUACUUAAUAGUGCUAACCUUGAGAAUUAACAGCUAGAGUAGUUUCCAGGAUUCGCCGUGCAGUGUUGUCGCCUGAUUCGAUCAAACUUUGCGAGCAGUGAGGGCAUAAGCUAGCGGCCGCCGGCUGCGCUAAUCGCUCAGAUCGCACGUUAAUCACGUCAGGAGCCUUUUUAGGUAACCGCAAGGACUAGUACUAGGAGCGGGCGAGGCUAUGACCCUGACUGGGCUUUCUUAUGGGUCUUUUCUUUCGAGAUUUUAUACUCUCCGUUUCAGUUAGGGGGGGGCCUAAUACGUGUAUUCACCAAAUCUAAUUGCUAAUUACUCCUACCUGUCAAAGNNNNNNNNNNNNNNNNNNNNNNNNNNNNNNNNNNNNNNNNNNNNNNNNNNNNNNNNNNNNNNNNNNNNNNNNNNNNNNNNNNNNNNNNNNNNNNNNNNNNNNNNNNNNNNNNNNNNNNNNNNNNNNNNNNNNNNNNNNNNNNNNNNNNNNNNNNNNNNNNNNNNACUGGUAGGUGCCCCAUACCAAUCAGGCGUCUUGGUUGGGAUCUCAGGUUUUAGAUGUUUAGGUUUGGCUGUGAUGUCUGUUUGGUAUUAGGCCCAGACUAUCAGCGCCCCUUCAUCAACUGGAUAGGUGGAGCGACAGUUGUUGCGUAGACGAUGGCUUCAGUCUUACUGUUGUAUGACUUUGUAAGGUCUUGUGAGAAUAAUUAAUAAAGUGACGGCAUGCAUCGCUUAGAUGCAGAGCUCGGGGGUCAUCCUCCUUUUCUAAAAAAAAUAGAACACGAGGAUAUAUACAAGCCAAUCUAGGCCAAAGAAGAAAAAAACCUAUAGGCCUCGCCGAACCAUCAAACCUGAAUGGUCAGCCAAGCGAGACAGGGAACAGCAUCCAUGCUGAAGAACAUCUGAAUUCUUCUUGGAAAGUAGAGAAAGCAAAGAAGCCAGCCAAGCCAGGUUGCUUCGCUUGCUCUGCUUGGAAGCUUAGCUUCAAGUGCUGCCGGAAGAAGAAGAAAGAGCACAAGGAUUUGUGAGUUAGUUCUCAGGUGUUGGAUUUUGACUUCUUGAAAAAUAUUAUCGCAAGAGAGCGGGUACAUGUAUAUACCUUUUUUGGGGGUGAAUGAAAUACCGCAACUAGAAGAAGUAUGAGGAGUGUGGAGUGGCCUGUUCAAUAGUGGCAUGAAUAGUGAAACAAUUAUGCAGGGUAAAAUAUAUAGCAUACAUGAUUACUUCUUCCUGUUUUGCCAUUAGUGAUUUCGUCGGAUCUGAAUAAUUCUUCUGGACCAUCAACUUAGAAUUUGUCAAGCAAGGUUUAUGGACCACUCUUUUCUCCAUGAUUUCUC
This 7865-nucleotide long non-coding RNA is filed under the name Triticum aestivum (bread wheat). RNAcentral's name for it is "long non-coding RNA (TAES_LNC022571)". Lineage: Eukaryota; Viridiplantae; Streptophyta; Magnoliopsida; Poales; Poaceae. The record is from RNAcentral.